UACGUAGGGGGCAAGCGUUAUCCGGAUUUACUGGGUGUAAAGGGAGCGUAGACGGCGGGGCAAGUCUGGAGUGAAAGGCCGGGGCCCAACCCCGGGACCGCUCUGGAAACUGCCCGGCUGGAGUGCGGGAGAGGUAAGCGGAAUUCCUAGUGUAGCGGUGAAAUGCGUAGAUAUCAGGAGGAACACCAGUGGCGAAGGCGGCCUACUGGGCUUUAACUGACGCUGAGGCACGAAAGCGUGGGUAGCAAACAGG
Molecule: ribosomal RNA, 253 nt
Filed under: uncultured Eubacteriales bacterium
Lineage: Bacteria; Bacillati; Bacillota; Clostridia; Eubacteriales
Description: uncultured Clostridiales bacterium partial 16S ribosomal RNA
Rfam family: Bacterial small subunit ribosomal RNA
Source: RNAcentral